This 8490-nucleotide long non-coding RNA is filed under the name Salvia miltiorrhiza (redroot sage). RNAcentral describes it as "long non-coding RNA (SMIL_LNC006244)". Lineage: Eukaryota; Viridiplantae; Streptophyta; Magnoliopsida; Lamiales; Lamiaceae. The record is from RNAcentral.
GCUUCGUCGGAGCUUGACCGACCCUGACAACGUGCUCCAGAGCUGGGAUCCGAACCUUGUGAACCCCUGCACCUGGUUCCACAUCACCUGCAACCAGGACAACCGCGUCACUCGCGUGUAUGUAUCUAUUUGAUGAAAUGCCUCUAUUUUUUUCUUCAAUCGUUCCUCUUUCUGUUCAUUAUUUUCACCUUGUUCUGUUACCUGUUUGGUGGAUUAGUAGUCUGUGUUCUUUGUUUCUCGGUGCUGUUUGGCUCUUGAUUUAGUGAAACAUGGAGAAAUCUGUUGCCUUUUUGCUGUAAUUUAUGCUUUACUUCUGGUUUAGUUGCUGAAUUUUGAAUUUUGGGGUGGUUAUCGAAGAACGCUAUCUUGAUGAAGUUUAUCUUGUUUUAGGGCAUGAGAAAUUUGUGUGAUUUAUGGUUACAAGAUUUUCUAAACUUGUCUAAAAAUGUUUCUCAGGGAAUACUAAUUCUUUUGAUUGAAUACGAUGAUAUUUUAUUUGAUUGUAUGUUUCUAAUGACUGGCAAACAAAACUCUCAUGUUUUUCAUAGUAUUCGGUGUGAAGAGCUUGAGGUAGAACACAGGUUGAGGUUUUUAUUGUGUCGUAGAUUUAGGGACUAUGUUUUGUACCUCCUCUGAUUGAAGUUGUGGUUGGGUUAAUGGUGUGUUGAAGAGAGGUUGCCUCUGGAAGCUAGGAGAUCGCCAUGAUUAUAGACACUGUUCUAACUGAUAUUAUUCAUUGGAUUAUGUUCUUAUUGAAACUAUUAAGACUUACACAAUGGAUUUGGAGUUAAUAAUCUGAGGAAUCAUAAUUAUGGACAAAAAUUCACAUAGGACUACCAAAUUAUUCAAAGAAGUGUUUUGGAGUUACUGUGAUGAAUUAGUGUCUGAAUUGAGCUAAAUCCUUCAUUCCAUUUACAUGGUACAGAAAUUGAAUGACAGUGGCAUAUUGUUAUCUUUUUGUUUGUGUUUUUAGUUUUAACCUUCCUCUCUUAUAUAAUAUUUGGAACUCUCUUCGAAUGCAUUCUGAUGAUUGUGGAAUAAACUUACACUUGGUUAUCACUUGGAUAGGGAUCUUGGCAACUCGAAUUUGUCUGGCCAUCUUGUGCCUGAGCUUGGGAAACUUGAAUAUCUCCAGUAUCUGUGAGUAUCAUCAUGUAACUCUCACACUUUAUUUCCAAGUCGCAGAUAUGCUUUUUUCUUUUAUUACUUAAUUCUGCAUAAAGAUGCAUGCCCAUAAUCCAUGGUUAUGUUGUAUUUCCUUCUUUCAUGACAACCAUGUUUAUGAAAAUGUCUUUAGAUUUGCUUUGCAGCCUACUGUCCCUGUUACUGUAGCCUAAUAACUACUGACCUUUUCAUCUAGGGAACUGUACAAAAAUAACAUCCAAGGAGAAAUUCCUGCUGAGCUGGGUAACUUGAAGAGCUUAAUAAGUCUGGAUCUAUACAACAAUAAUAUCUCAGGGAAAAUUCCUCCAUCACUGGGAAAUCUGAAAUCCCUCGUCUUUCUGUAAGCCUUACUUCACUUUCUUAUCAGUUAUAUAUACAUUUUUCAUUUUGAGAUUGACUGUGAUGGUUUAUUUUGUUUGCCAUCACACAGCCAAAAGACUGCUGUGCUCAUUAAUGUAUUUUUCAUUAUUCAAUUUGAGAUUGAUGUUGAUGGUUCAUGUAUUUGUGAGAUUAUUUAAACACUUUUUUUCGAUUAAAGCUAACAUUUUCUCACAUUAAAGUAUUACCUCUUUUCCCCGAACGUGAUGCAAAGUCCUUGUAAAAUUUUGAACGAGUUACCACUUCAUUACAAUAUAACCUUUUCAUUCUCUCCCAGACGUCUUAAUGAUAAUCAGCUACAUGGACCAAUCCCAAGGACACUUGCUGGUAUAUCUACCUUGAAAGUUGUGUAAGUGCUACUGAUUUGACUAGUACUUAGUUCUUUUAGUAUGUUUCUAGCUAUAUGUGUGAGAGUAUUGCUAAUAUUUUCAUUUGGUUUUGUAGUGAUGUCUCCAAUAACAAUUUGUGUGGUACAAUACCGUCCAGUGGUCCAUUUGAGCACAUCCCUUUGAACAAGUAAGUUGUUUGAGUCUUGGACAUUGUUUGGAUAUCAAUUUCAACUCUUUUUAUUUGUUUUAUCUAUUGCUGUUUAAUUAUUUUAGUUCAUUUGAACUUCUUUGCUGAAUAUAUCUCGAUCUGGUGUCGUCCCCUUCUGUCCUGCCUUGCAUGAUAUCAAUACACCUUAUCUUCUUCUUUUACAUUAUCAUCACAGCUUCUAACUGCCGUUAGACCCUCCUUUAUAUUUACAUCUAAUGUGAGUCUGGAAUUAUGGAUACAUGGCUUCAAUAUUCUAUACAUUUAGAAUCUCAUUAAGCUAUAAGAUUUGAAAAUGAUCUUAUAGGCUUAGUAAAAUGUCAGUCUAGGAGAUCAAAAGGAGGAGAAUUUUUGUUCGUAUGGUUGUUCUCCCUUUCUUUGUCUGCAAACUGGUUCUGAAGGUUUGGUUACUUCUCUAUGUAUUUUGCAGCUUCGAGAACAACCCCCGACUCGAAGGUCCGGAGCUGCAGGGACUUGCAAGUUAUGACACAAACUGCUCUUAAUCAACUGAUACGAGACACAGAAGUUUGCAGUAACAUAUCCUGGAUGGUGCUUUUUCCUUCUUAAAAAUAUAUGUAUAAGUUGGAGUGUGUUUUGGUAAGAUGCCUAGUCUUGUAAGCUUGUUUAUAUUUUCCGUUGUAGGUGACGGCAAUAAACCGUGGUAAUUCAUGAAUAUCUGUAAUUGGAACUAUAAUUUAUCAUGUAUUUUUUCCUUACUCUACUCACUUGGAGAUAUAUAGAAAGGUACAAAGCCGAAUAGAAAACACAUUUAAUCACUCAAGACGGUUAACCUCCUCUAACUCGAUCAAACAGCACACACUGUACAGAUUUAAUCACAAAAAACGAACCCUUUCCCCUCAGAUAAUCACCAGUCUGCACAUAUAUUACAGCACAUCCCAUAAUUAGGAUAGUUCAAGACAAAGUUUCAACUCAAAACUGCCCUCAAAAGAAACGCUAAAUUUGAAAAAAUAAGGCCAAAAAGAAAAACCUCGCCAAACCGCAAAAACUUCAAGAAAUCAAAUAAAUAACUCAUUCUUGAAGAAACCAUCUUGCUAGCAGAAUGAAAGAACCCCACUCGUAUCGAGCACGAAAAUCAUAUACGAUCAAACUCACGGAGAAGUACCCGACACACUUUCUUUUCCCCAUCUUCUCUAUCGGAAUCACUGGAACUCGAGUCGGAGCUAGAGCUGGAACAGGAACUCGAGCUUCUGGAGAGCUUACCUUUUCCUUUACCAGAAGAUGGAGAAUGCAAGUCUUCAACUGCUUCGUCGUCGUGGUUGGGCCUUUCACCCUCAAAGGCACUGCUAAGGCUAGACUUCUCUUCAGAGGGUCCUACCUUAUCGUCAGCCUUGACUUGGCCUGAUUCAUCAUCCGACUUCAGCUUCAGCUGUUCUCUCGUUUCACCAUCCGAAACUGCACCCUCCAAAGGAACGGCCUCAACAAUGUGCAGUUCAGAAGACGCUCCUUGCGUUUCUCUAGAUUCAACAACAGGCAGAGCAUGAUCAACUAUAGCUGUUUGGUUACCAUUCGCCUCAGCACCAUCACUUGGUCCAACUUCAAGAAGUGAUGCCUUAUUAGUAGAUACUGGCUCACUCAUAUCACUGUGUGGUGCUGUAUCCUCAGCAUCCUCGGUUAUGGUUUCCCCAACAUCACGAUCCUUGAUCUCGUUGGUACCGAUAUGCUGGAACGCCUGAUGAAUAGCUUCGACUGAACUAGCCUCAAUUUCAGGCAUCCCGGAAGUAGAUUCCGUAUCCACUGGCUUAAAAUCAACCGGCUUCUCAAUUGCCUUGGAAAUGAUGUGCUCAAAUGCCAGAUCAAUUUCUUCAACUGUACUAGCUUCGAUUUCAGUAAAUUCAAGAGUAUGGGCUUGAUCUUGACUGGAUACAUCAGCACUUGCCACGGCGACUUCAGUAUGCUUGGGAACAUCUUCUGCCAAUAGGACUUCCUGCUCAGGUGUUCCACAAUCAGUAUCCUCAGCUUGGGGUGGUUCUAGAACGACGUGCUUCUCAAUCUCCACAGAACUGAUUUUCGUGGAAGCAAGAUCAAUAUCUUCUUCAGCUUUAGUAUCUUCAAGUUCAGGAAUCAGAGGUGUAUCUGCAUCAACGGGCUCCAAAACUCGAGGAUUCUCACUUGCCUCGGAACUCAUUUGCUUAAGUGCUGCCAGCUCAAUAUCUUCCACUGUACUAGAUUCAGUUUCAAUCAUAUCAGAACUGGGUACCUCAGCAACUGUGGGAGCAGCAUCAACGUCAGAUUCGGGUACUGCAGAAACAAUAACUUCAUGAUUCUGAAGCUCGGCUUGGGGUGGAUCCAAAACAACGUGCUUUUCAAUCUCUCAGAACUGGUUUGCUUGAAGGCUAAAUCAAUAUCUUCGAUGGAACUAGCUUCGAUUUCAGGCAUCCUGAAAGUGGUAUCUGUAUCAAGUUGACCUUGACAGGAGACCUCAGCAACUUCCACCAUGACUUCAGUUUCCACAGAUGCCAAUUCACCCUUCGUGGCAACAUCGACAGAUUGCACUUCCAUUUCAGGUAUCCCAGAAACAGCAUCUUCAUGAUUGUGAUUCACAAACGAAUCUCCGGGCAUGAAUUCAUUUUCUGUGGACAGUGUUUCCUCGUCGGAUGUUUCCUGAUGUGGAGAAUCAGGGUCCUUUUCGAUGACCUCUGAGACCUCGAGAUUUUCAGCUCUACUUGUUUGAUAUGUUUGUAUCUCUGAAACAUGUUCUGCAGCUUCCUGUCAUACACAUCAAUAUUCUCCCUCGAUUCCUCUGGAAGCAGAAAUUGUUCCAUUUCGCUGACUCCAACCGAGCGAAUCACAUGAUGCGUUGAAGACAAACUUUCUUCUCCAACAGAAUCUACGCGCUUUUCAAACUCAUUCGUGCCAGAUCCCAGCUGUCCGAUGCUAAAGUCCCCAACGUUAUCCAACUCACACAGAAGCCCUUCAUCGAUUUCCUUGAUCUCAUCUGCUUCUUCAACCACUGUCUGCACAUCAAAACGAUAACUAUUUGUCUCGAUAGCACUUGAUGGAGAGUUGGCGUAGCCAUCAAGUUCUUGGACCUCAGGCACGUUCAAAUCAUGUGUAAAUUGAUCAUCCAAAAAUGACUCAACUUGGGUGCUCGAUGCCUGCAUUUUGUUAUCCAAGAGAUCGUUGGCUUAUUUCUAGAUCUGAGGAUGUUAAUACAUCACAUGCUUGCAAAAAAUUUAAACGAUGAUCAACACCUUAAACAGGACACGUCGCAUGGAAGAUACUCUUUAGAAUAUAUGCAUGUUAUAAUUCUCCACAUCUCAGCUCAAACAGAUAACACAUAUAACUAAGAAAGGAAUUUUUGAGAAAACAAAAGAUACAGUAUAACUUACUUGCACUUCAUUGAGAUAGUUGAAAUCUGGCUCUUGUAUUGCACUCUCAUAAAAGAGAGAUGUGUUUCCCUCAGAUGGGAGCAUAGAGAUUAACUUUUCAUCAGCUUCAUGUUCAUAUCACCAUCGGAAUCCGAUGGUGGUUCGACAGUCUCAUCUAUGGAAUUUGAACGUUCUGCCGUUCGUGGUAGACCUUCAAGUUGUGUCUCACUGACUUCAAUUAGGCCAUGAAUAUUCUUAUCAUCAGCGGAGACGGAGACUUCAUCCGAUUCAUGUUUCUCCACGAGAUGUUCCUCCAUCGAAGCCUCACCGUGAGAUCUCGAUAGAGUAUUUCGACUCAAAUCACUGCUCAUAUUUUCCUGAUCUCUUAUAUCAACGACAUCAGCUGGCCUAGACUCAGCUGCUAUUGAUUGGGACAUUGAAGAAUCAGGCAACAUCUCGAUGUUACGAGUAAUGUCUGUCUCGAUUUCCCGGGGAUUCCGUUCAGAUUCUCCCCCAACCGGAAGCACAUCACAAGGAACGGAGGAGGAGGAUGGUGCAUUCUUACCGAGUCCUCGGGGGCUAGAGUCGUAGACAGGAGCCCGUUGUGUUAUGUCGAUUGCCAAUGCACUUGUGAUAUUCAGAUCACUACUUCCUAAAGAAGUUUGGCUCGAGAUGCUUGGUUCUUCGAAAUCUCUGCUUCCCUCUACCAUUGAUAGCCCUUCGCCUUCUGUAUCAAUGAAGACCCUCUCACUCACUUCUGAAAGUGACGAGGAGCUCGAAUCUCUACUGUAUCUCGACUCAACAGCUCCCAAGGUCGAACCAUGACCAAAACCCUGAGCUUCCACGUUUUGGGAUUCUCCAACUUGAUCAUCCCUCUUCUCGACUUGGGCUAACUCUAGAUAAUCUUCGUCUCCCGAAGAUUGACUUCCAUGUCCAAUAUGCUCGGAAACACUCUCCAUCUUGGAGAUCAUUUCCCCGGUGUCUUCCUCCUCUCGGCUAAUCAGCUCUGGAUCACGAGAGGGACCCUCCUCAGCGAUGUCUCUUGCUUGUUCAACAACCUCUCUCUCUGGCAGACUGUCUGUUUCUGGAAGCUUCUUGUCCUCCAUAUCUUCAACUGAAGUAAAUGAUUCAGUUUCAGGAAUGGAGCUCGCCUUUGAGUCACUAAGUCCACUCGACUGUCUCUGAAACAGAGAACUGCUCGACUCUUCGGAGAUUGUUCUCUCUGGAACAAAGUAAGGCCUCAUCUUGACAUCUUGCCUCUUAGGUGCAAACAUCGAAGGUCCGACAUUGAAGCUCUCGUGUCUCCGGAAAAACGGCUCCCUGGGUUGGGACGUGAACUCCUCUUGAAACACAUCUCCCUUAAGGUCAGGCUUCUCCUCACUUGAGUCGUAAGGAAUGUCGAAAGGGUUCCGCCUCUGUAGCAUAACAGAAGGAGCUGAACCAGGAAUGGGAGGCAGUCCUGAAUCAUCAUAAGAAUCUUGAGGGAGAUCGAAUGGAUUCUGUCGUCUAGUUGAAAUAGGAGCAAUGUUGAAAGGGAGAUCAGUACUCUCCAAGUCUAUCAAGUUCCUCUCUGCAAACAAGCUUGAGUUUGUGCUCUUCCUUGCUCUCCUCCUCAUAAUCAGAUUCUCCAAACGUUGGUUUCUCUCGAUCUCAGAGCUUCCGAGAUCCAUGAGAUUCUUCUGGUCCUGCUCCGUCCAUGUAAUGGCGGACUUCGUCUCCUCGUCCUUGUCCCCGUGUGCAUCCUCUUCUUCGUCUUCUCCGUCUUCAUUUUCAUCAUCAUUAGCUUCCAAGUGCUCAUGAUUUUCAGACUCAUCAUCCGACUGGUGACUCGAUUUUAGUGACUUCUCUGAUGCCACAUCUGAGCUACCACGAGAGAGACGAGCAUUCUGAGGGCCGCCCUCCUCAUCCAGCAACGGAUGGAGCUCAUCAAGCAUUGGCAUUAUGUCAGCCAUCGAGGCAUCCGGAGAGGAACUCUCAGCACAAUCAGACCCAGAAUCCAAGCUCUCCUCCUCAUCCUCAUCUCGCUCCUUCUCCUCCUCCUCCCGCUCCUCGACUCGUGCCCACGGGGAGAGGGGAGGCGAAUCCAGAGAAUCCACAUUCACCUUCUCGGAAUCAAAAGAAUCUGCUUCCGAUUUCUCAUCAUCUGAUUCAACUUCACCAUUUACCUUUGCAUCCCCAUUGUUAAGCCUUUCUUCAAUCCACUCACCUUUCUCCUUGUACCUCAGCUCAUCUAACUCUCUCUUCCCUCCCCUUUCCUCACCACCACUCGCCUCACUUCCCCUCGAUCUCUCCUUAAUCAACGGGGCAGUAUCAUCCAGAUCCUCCUCUCUACGAACUUGAGCCGACUUUCCUGCUUCAUCCCGCCAACUAUUCUCAUCAAAUCUAUCAACAAAAUGGUUCUCAUUCUCCUCAACAACAGUAGCAUCACCCAAAACUCCACUCUUAAUCGAUGCAGCCUCUAUCUUCUCUUCGAAUUCGAUUUCGGGUAUAUUUGGUUGCCCAAAACUUAAAAGGGUUCCAAGCAAAACAGCAGUGCAUACAAGUAUGGGAGAUGUAGACACCAAUAAGUGAAAAAUAAAAGGAGAUGAUCUGUACAGAAAUAUCAAGAAACACAGCAUGCCCACAAGAAAUGGAUGACUGCAAACUGUUCUAAAACAUCCUCUGAUUGUAAAUAUCACACCUUUCCUCACUUUAACCCCAAUCUCCAACAAUUCAACACCCAUUUUUCUUCUACUUUCACCCAAAAAAAGGAAAAGGAAAGUGUAUUUCGAGCUAAAUCUGCCAAAAACCCCAAUAACAUCCCGUCAUCAGAUCAAAUCAAAUCACCAUAAAUAACAAAAACAACAGUCGCAUCGAUCAAGAACUUAAAUUGAAGAGCUAUAGAAUGAUAAUUUAAAGAACUUAAAGAAUCAGACAGUACCUGAAAACCAAAACAAGAAUUCCCAGAAAGCUCAAAGUGGUUAUCAAUACCAACUUGGAUAACAGAUCAAUCUAAGCUAAAUCUUGAAUUUUUUUUCUUUGCUUUACAAUCACUCUCUGUUCUUUUUUGCCUCAGCAACAGCUACUGAUCCAAGAGUCUGUCUAU